GUGGUAAUUCAGUGGUGGCAUUUUCUCCUUUCAUGUGAGAGGCCUGGGUUCAACUCCCAGCCAACACA
This 68-nucleotide transfer RNA is filed under the name Loxodonta africana (African savanna elephant). It matches the Rfam family "tRNA". Rfam says of the family: Transfer RNA (tRNA) molecules are approximately 80 nucleotides in length. Lineage: Eukaryota; Metazoa; Chordata; Mammalia; Proboscidea; Elephantidae. The record is from Rfam by way of RNAcentral.